CCUACGGGUGGCAGCAGUGGGGGAUAUUGCACAAUGGGGGAAACCCUGAUGCAGCGACGCCGCGUGGGUGAAGGAGCGCCUCGGCGCGUAAAGCCCUAUCAGCAGGGAAGAAAAUGACGGUAACUGAAGGAGAAGCCCCGGCUAAAUACGGGCCAGCAGCCGCGGGAAUACGUAGGGGGCAAGCGUUAUCCGGAUUUACUGGGGGUAAAGGGGGCGCAGGCGGCGAUGCAAGCCAGGAGUGAAAGCCCGGGGCCCAACCCCGGGACUGCUCUUGGAACUGUGUGGCUGGAGUGCAGGAGGGGCAGGCGGAAUUCCUGGUGUAGCGGUGAAAUGCGUAGAUAGCAGGAGGAACACCGGCGGCGAAGGCGGCCUGCUGGACUGCAACUGACGUUGAGGCCCGAAAGCGUGGGGAGCAAACAGGAUUAGAUACCCGAGUAGUC
RNAcentral lists this ribosomal RNA (440 nucleotides) under uncultured bacterium. RNAcentral describes it as "partial 16S ribosomal RNA". It matches the Rfam family "Bacterial small subunit ribosomal RNA", at positions 338 to 795 of the family's 1533-position model. The record is from RNAcentral.